This 1416-nucleotide long non-coding RNA is filed under the name Rhinopithecus bieti (black snub-nosed monkey). Its description in RNAcentral is "lncRNA (ENSRBIG00000046650.1)". The record is from RNAcentral. Lineage: Eukaryota; Metazoa; Chordata; Mammalia; Primates; Cercopithecidae.
UCCCCCCUCCCCCCCCAACCACACCUUUUGGGUUUGGCAGUGUCUGGAGGCAUCGUUGGUUGUCACAAUUGGGUGAGGGGUUUGCCACUGGCACCUAAUGGGUAGAGGCCAGGGAUGCUGCUAAAUAGUGGUUGUUUAGCUCAGGACACCCCACCCCACCCCGUCACCCCACCUCACGGGCACAGACAAAAACUCAUCUUGCCCAAAAUGUCAAUAUCGCGGGGUUGAGAAUGUAGAACAAUCCCUUUUUCUGAGGGGAUACAUACUGAGAUAUUAGGCUGAAUCACAUGACAUUGUCUCUUGCGUAGGUCAAGUAUCGGCAAUACUUAAGGACGAAGGGUUAUGACGUUCACAACAAACUCUCAAAAUAAUGAACAAGCCCUUCCGCCCCGGCUGCCCCGCGACCUAGGGGACCCGAGAAGGGCGCACUAGCCCGGGGCGCGGAGGCCAACGCCGAGCCUGCGCGGUGGGAGGCGCUGAGAGCUCACUGCGCACGCGCCGGUCGGCCGGCCGCACCCACGCGGCUCAGCUCGCGAAGUUGCAGACAGCCCGGCGAACCGCUCAAUGCGCUUCUUCUGCCCGCCGCAGAGAAAGGGAAAGAAAACUUCGCAGGGGUUCCGUUGGCUUCUCGACGACUGACAAAGAUGCUUUCCCAGAUAGAAGACCGGAGCCCUGCUCCUUUGCGAUCCGCCAAGGGCUGCAGAGAGCAUCCUCAUCCAUUUGGGCACCCCUGUCCAGGAAGAGCCCGGCCAUCCCUUUCCAGAUUGGAUCCUUCAGAGGUGAAUUUUCUUCGGUGGAUUCCGAUUUGCUCCGUCUGACCAGCCUAGGCAAUCCAGCAUCGCGUGGUACCAGUGCCCCUGGGCACACUUGCUUCACGCCGGCGCCAGCUCCGCCUCGCCAGCAAGCGCAUUCCCAGGGAAAACUAUUCAGUGCCCAGCUUCUUUCUUCUAGGGAUGAAGGAAGGAAGAGGAAGAAUAUAUUUUCCAGAACAUCAAGAACCAUGUUUGUACAUAGAAGAUAGCUCCUUCGCAUGUAAUUGGUGCUCUUUCUCUCAUAGUCGGCACUUCUUGGAACAUAGAAAGACCUCAGUGAAGACCUGCAGUGAAUGAAUAAAAGAAGCUGCACGAGUACAAAGGAAACCACUCAUCUAUACACAGUCUUGCUAAAUUAUGCUUGCCAAAUUAUGCCUGCCAAAUUAUGCCUGCCAUUGAGUUUCUUACCAAAAUGCAGUGCAAUGAGGAAAAUAAAUAGAAUGGGGUAAACUUUCAUAAUAUUAUGUGGUUUAUAUUACACUUUAUUCCACUCUUUUAGUAUUAAAAAGCCCUGCACUGCCUAUGAUAAAAUGGUGGUAUUUGUAGAGGAUAGUUUUCCAUUCUGUGAUUUUUAAAAGGACAUUACUUGGAAGAUUAAAACUGG